RNAcentral lists this ribosomal RNA (269 nucleotides) under uncultured prokaryote. Its description in RNAcentral is "partial 16S ribosomal RNA". It matches the Rfam family "Bacterial small subunit ribosomal RNA", at positions 524 to 792 of the family's 1533-position model. The record is from RNAcentral.
UACGGAGGGUGCAAGCGUUAAUCGGAAUCACUGGGCGUAAAGCGCACGUAGGUGGUUGAGUAAGUCAGAUGUGAAAUCCCCGGGCUCAACCUGGGAACUGCAUUUGAAACUGCUUGGCUAGAGUCCGAUAGAGGGGGGUGGAAUUCCAGGUGUAGCGGUGAAAUGCGUAGAUAUCUGGAGGAACAUCAGUGGCGAAGGCGACCCCCUGGAUCGAGACUGACGCUGAGGUGCGAAAGCGUGGGGAGCAAACAGGAUUAGAUACCCGUGUA